RNAcentral lists this unclassified non-coding RNA (799 nucleotides) under Leishmania donovani. RNAcentral's name for it is "gene:unknown". Lineage: Eukaryota; Euglenozoa; Kinetoplastea; Trypanosomatida; Trypanosomatidae. The record is from RNAcentral.
ACGUGUGCUCCGUGUACCUGUACCGCUGAACUUGUUGGCCGCCCCAAAGCUGCUCUGGCUGCUCCCCCCCCCUUCCCACUGCCGUGGCGAGAGGUUCGCGCUGCUUCUCCCGUGCCUGGGGUUCUUCUUGUGCAACUGCGCUGCUUGGCGUUGGUUGGGCUGCGCCUCUGUUGAGCCCUUGCCAUGCACUUGCGUUUCUUUAUAUGUUGUUUCUCACGUCUUCGUUGUGAGCCGCUUUCGGCUACGUGAACGAACACACACACACACACACACACACACACACACACGCAGAAAGACGCUGAAACGAUGCACACACGCACACACUGCCAGCAGGCCACACACGAGGCCGCUGAUGCCAAGAUGUCGUGAAGCUACCCUUUUCACUGCUCCUUCACUGUCUAGUGGAGUGUGUGGACCGUAUCACACGGACGCAGGAUGGGCUAGGGAGGGGGAAGGUGCUAGCGCCCAUGGGCACAGGCGGCGCACACACGCACACACACCUUGAGCGAGAAGCCAGCAUGUGCUGCGUGUGAACCACCUCUGGCAAUCGCAAGAGUGCACAGAUGCCUUUCAUGCCGGCUGUGCGGCCCUGCAGACUCGUCCGUGGGGUCAAACGCGGCUGUUGCUCUAUCCGUGCGCAUGUGCGUCUAUUGAGACUGACGAGUGCCGUUGGGCCUUAUAUGUGACGCCCUCCUUGUGCGCCUUUCCUCCGUCUUUGUCCAUCAUCUCGCCGAGGGCGACCAGCUCUUUUCCUGCACCCUGCCCUUUCAUUGUCCGUCAUUCUAUGCCUUUUCUUUAG